This 285-nucleotide long non-coding RNA is filed under the name Salvia miltiorrhiza (redroot sage). RNAcentral's name for it is "long non-coding RNA (SMIL_LNC003550)". Lineage: Eukaryota; Viridiplantae; Streptophyta; Magnoliopsida; Lamiales; Lamiaceae. The record is from RNAcentral.
UUUUUUUUAAAGUGUGAUUUACUGAUUUUAGUCUUUUUUUUUUAUAAAUUAACAGUAUUAAAUAAAUAAAUUUAAAGGUCGCGCCACAAGGGACUCGAACCCAAGAUCUUUGACCUUAGGUAUUAACCCCUUACCACUUGAUCAACACACGCACAUAAAACUAUCCCUACUAUAUAAAUUAGGAACCCAAUUUUGAUGCAAAUAAAAAUACAAAUAGCCACUCCUCAACAACAACAAAAAAAAAAAAACCAAAAACAAAUAACCAACUUUAACUAAAAAACUUAC